UACCUUUUUGUCACUUUUUCUGUGUUGCUCAAAAUCUCAGCGGAUGAAUAAGUUUGGGGGAUAGUUCAGGGAAUGUUUCAAGGGGUCUGUAUAUUACUGGUUAGAGUAGGCCUAACGCUUUUUUCACACAACAGCAGGAGCGCAAUAGCAGUGCAGUUUUGACUGAGCAAUACGUACACAUGGACGCAAUUUCGAGUAUCUUAUAUUCUCCGAUUCCACUAUUCCCUAUCAACCUGCUUUAUACCCUUCAUUACGUUCGUUUUCUCCGUUUUCUCUCAUUCCUUCUUUCCAUCCCUUCUUUCUCCUCUUCCCCUGUUAGGCCGGCGUCUGGUCGAGUAUUCGAGUUGCAUGCUUACUUUUAUUCAACUGGGUGUCUGAAAGACUGGGUAUAUUAUGGUUCUCAAUCACGAAUCAAGAAACGCUACUCAAUCUACAGGGCUACGCUAGCUCGUUGAAGUCUUUCCCUCAACAAUUAUGUGAUUAACUUGAUCACAACACACUUUAAUGAGUUGAACUUCCAGAAUAUAGAUUAAACGAAGCCACUGGAAAAACAACGUAAUAGUCGCAGGGGAAAAAGUUUUAUACAAGGGCAUCCUGUGACAUCCUGUGCACAAACUCAAUGAAAUCUGGUCUGAAAAAGUUUGUUUUUCUAGCUCAAUGCCUAGAUACCUUCCGGUUAAAUUAGGACAUGUUCUCGCUUUCUGAUGGCUAAGAAACCACUAUAGAGGAAAAUAAGUCAAUGUAUGGAACUCUUAAAUCGUAAUCUAUCCAUGGUAAACUUAUAACUGAUAACAUGCAGUUUACGACUAACUUGUUUCUUUGUAGUAGAACUUUUUCUCUGUAUAGUUAUCUGUAUCUAUUGCUCUAUCGAUACGGACCAUAUUUAGUACCUGUUUAAGCUGAAAUGGCAACAAAAGGUACACAGAGCAGUUGCAGACAAUCGAUAAAAAGUGAAGAAUAGUGUACGGGUCGGAAAUCGUGAUGUAAUGUGUCUGAACAGUACCGAUUCGAGUUUAGUCUGGUUCAGCUCUCUUUGGCAUAGAACACACGAUUUAGACAUACAAUAUAAAUGUCUGUAAACACGUAAAAAUUGCAAGCCAGCACGUGCGCUAUUAUGGUUGUUUCAAAAAUAUGCUUGACCCUUUUCACGGACCAUUGCAAGCGGGAAAAAAUCAAACAAACAUCCAUUUUAAUGACUUGUAGUAAACCAAGUUUUUUUUAUAUUUUUCACCCUUGUCUGGAUGUGCUUGUAGGCCUAUGAUGUCAUGCAUUUUGGGUAAAAAAACAGGCAUUGUUUAGACGUGACCUUAAGGGAUCUGCUGAAAAAAGCAAAUAUGGUUUACAAAUUACAUAUUAAUACUCAGACAUGUGGGGGAAAACAGUUCACGUGCAAUGAGAUAGAAUUCAUUAUUCACAAACGAGCAACUCAUGCAAAUCAUAAUCCAAAAUGUCCUAUGAAAUAACAAAAUUCAUUAUUCACAAACGAGCAACACCUUAAUCAAAAAUACAAAACAUGUACAAUGUACAAUGAGAUAACAUUGCCCCCAUUUAAAAUUGUAUUUUGCUAAUUACUUUGCGAACUCCAGUUUUUAACUUCAAAUAAAAAUCUCAUUGACACAGUAUGGUGACUCUUACUUGCCUCAAACUCAAAAUGUACCGUGGGUCUCACAAAGUCUCGUGUUUCUAAAAGAUUCUCGCUUGAGUGUAAGACAGGCUCUCUGCGCCAGUAUAAUCACGUAGUGAUGACGUCCAGGAACUAUUUGCUCUUUCUGUAGAUCAAUUAGGCCUAAACAUUAAAAAAGCUUACAUUUUUGGAAUGUUCUCACUUAAGUGUUUUGGAAGCUAAGUUAUCUAUUUAGUGAUGAGUAAAAACAUAACUUCUCAGACCGU
Molecule: long non-coding RNA, 1890 nt
Filed under: Acanthaster planci (crown-of-thorns starfish)
Lineage: Eukaryota; Metazoa; Echinodermata; Asteroidea; Valvatida; Acanthasteridae
Description: uncharacterized LOC110979478
Source: RNAcentral